RNAcentral lists this ribosomal RNA (499 nucleotides) under uncultured bacterium. Its description in RNAcentral is "partial 16S ribosomal RNA". It matches the Rfam family "Bacterial small subunit ribosomal RNA", at positions 28 to 523 of the family's 1533-position model. The record is from RNAcentral.
GAUGAACGCUGGCGGCGUGCUUAACACAUGCAAGUCGAACGGGUGCUUUGGGAAACUGGAGUACUAGUGGCAAACGGGUGAGUAACGCGUGGGUGACCUACCUCAGAGUGGGGAACAACAGACCGACCCGCCCGCUACUACCGCAUAUGCUCGUUGAUUCAUUUUGGCGAGUAAAGGCGCAAGUCGCUUUGAGAGGGGCCCGCGUCCCAUCAGGUAGUUGGUGAGGUAAUGGCCCACCAAGCCGAUGACGGGUAGCUGGUCUGAGAGGACGAUCAGCCACAAUGGAACUGAGAUACGGUCCAUACUCCUACGGGAGGCAGCAGUGGGGAAUAUUGGACAAUGGGCGAAAGCCUGAUCCAGCCAUGCCGCGUGUGUGAAGAAGGUCUUCGGAUUGUAAAGCACUUUAAGUUGGGAGGAAGGAUUGUUAGCUAAUAUCUAGCAGUUUUGACGUUACCAACAGAAUAAGCACCGGCUAACUCUGUGCCAGCCGCCGCGGUAA